Molecule: ribosomal RNA, 260 nt
Filed under: uncultured bacterium
Lineage: Bacteria
Description: partial 16S ribosomal RNA
Rfam family: Bacterial small subunit ribosomal RNA
Source: RNAcentral
GUCCACGCCGUAACGAUGAGAACUAGCCGUUGGACCCCUUGAGGGUUUAGUGGCGUAGCUAACGCGAUAAGUUCUCCGCCUGGGGAGUACGGCCGCAAGGCUAAACUCAAAUGAAUUGACGGGGCCCGCACAAGCGGUGGAGCAUGUUGUUUAAUUCGAUGCAACGCGAAGAACCUUACCACCCCUUGACAUCCUCGGAACUUGGCAGAGAUGCCUUGGUGCCUUCGGGAACCGAGUGACAGGUGCUGCAUGGCUGUCGU